GGGGUUUUUGUGACUAGUAGUCUUUGGUCUCUUACCUGGGAAGGUAUGUUUUCAAGCUCAGGAAACCAGAGGGUCAUAUUUGAGGAGCAAAGCAGGAUAUUGGCGCUGGAGCUGACUCGGGCAAGGCGAGCAACGUCUAGUGGGCUAAAGUAGCCGUUAUUGUUCAGGUACCCUCCGCGAGGGUUCCCCCGCCCCCGCGAGAUAACAGUCAUAACUACUCAGAAAAGGAUCGUCGGGGCGAUGCUGCCGCUAGCCGACCGAAACUCGGUACUGCGUCUCGGGAGCAGCGCACGCGCGUUGCCAUGCUCGCUGCAGCCGCCCGGCCGCCCAAAUUAGGUUCCGCAGCUCGAGCGCCGCGCACGCGCGGUGGUGCCGCCGUGCUCCGAGCUGUCGCCCGCCGGUAACGGCAAUGCGGUACUGCGGCGCCCGCGAGGCGGUGGUGGUGCCGCCCUCGGUGCUGCCUCCCGGUAAGGAAGCGCCGCCGCCGCACGCGGUAUUAGCGAGCGCUCUGCGCGCAAAACGCCGAAGUGAAGCGCCGGUGCCGCCCCUGGGGCGGGAGCCGCCUGCCCGCUGCUCGCCGCGGCUUCCAGCACCCCCUUUGCUGCCGCUGCCGCCUCGUUGCCGAGAGGGGGUACUGGAGCCCGGCAUUGGCGCGCCGGCUCUGACCUUUCCAGCACGCUGUUGGUGCCCGGGAGCAGCACGGCAGCACGCUGGGUGCGGGUCCCGGUGGUGGCGUACGGCCGGUGAGGCGAGGGAGCCCCUUCAGAUGCGUCUCCAGAAGCCCCUGGAGAAGGAGGGGAUUUGGCCAGGGGCGAUCUACGGCAACAACGGUUGCUGCUGCUUCUUUCCCCUCUCCCAGCGGCUGCAACGAGGACGCAAUUGUCCAUUCCUCCCCUGGGGACGCUGUUGGCUACACCUGCCUCAGGCUUGUGUGGGUUGUGUCUGCCUGGCCUUGCUCUCAUCGGGGCAAAAAGGGACAGAUAGAACGUUUACUGCCUGCGGACAGGAGCUGCCACGGCUAGAGCUGGAGAGGUCAGAGAAAGGUAAAGAACCACACAGCCGCUUGCUCACUUCCCCCCUGGUGGGAUGGGGGACAGAAUCAGAAGGGUAAAAAUGAGAAAACUCAUGGGUCAAUAUAAAGACAGUUUAAUAAGCAAAGCAAAAGCCAUGCACGCAAGCAGCACAAAACAAGGAAUCCAUUUGCUACUUCCCCAUGGACAGGCAGGUGUUCAGCCAUCUCCAGGAACACAGGGCUCCACCACGCAUGACAGCGAGUUGGGAAGGCAAACGCUCUAACUCUGAACAUCCCCUCCUUCUUUCUCCAGCUUUAUAUGCUGAGCAUGAUGUUAUAGGGUAUAGAAUAUAUUUGGUCAGUGGGGGGUCAGCUGUCCCAGCUGUGUCCCCUCCCAACUCCUUGUGCACCCCCAGCCUAUUUGCUGGCAGAGUGGUGUGAGAAGCAGAAAAGGCCCCAACUCUGUGUAAGCACUGCUCAGCAGUAACUAAACUGUCCCUGUAUUAUCAAUGAUGUUUUCAGCACAAAUCCAAAACAUAGCCCUGUACUAGCUACUAUGAAAAAAAUUAACUCUAUCCCAGCCAAAACCAGCACAUUCUCCACACUUUAUUCCAUACCAUUUACAUCAGGUUCAGGUCCCACACUAUCCAAUACAUCUUCAUUAACCACCCCCCUUCCCAUCCUUUGAUAUAAUAGGCAGAUACCAUUCCUUUGGCUAUGGACCACCCCUUCUAAAAAGUCCACAAAAUGUCCAUUGAGUUCAUUUAGUCCGUGACUUGGGGCUCCAUCUCUUACAGUGGUCACUUAGGGCAGGAUAGAUGUCAUGUUGCCUGGAGUUACUGGGCACCAAAGCCAGCUCAGGUUGGGUCACUGCUGCACUUGCACUAUUUCUUGUAGGGCUUGUCCUCCAUUGGUUCAGGUGGUCCUGCUAUAGUUAACUCCUAUAACAUGCAACUUGAAAUCACAGGUUACAACAAUUUGAAGGCAUUUCCAUUACAGUCUCCACCCCUGGUCCCUUUGGGCCAGGUUAUUGGGUUUAACAUUGUAAUGAACUCCUCCCCUUGCUCCUUGCCUGGCUAGCGAGAAGGGGUUCCUGCUAUAGUAAUUCCUAUGACAUGCAACGCAAAUCCCUGGUUACAACAAUUUAAAGGUAUUUCCAUUACAAUCUCCAUCCCCGGUCCCUUUGGACCAGACCAUCGGGUUUAACAUUGCAAUGACCUCCUCUCUUUGCCCCUGCUCCAGCUUGGACUUAUCCACAGACUGCAGUCCCUUAGAGGUGUACCUGCUCCAAGUGGAGCCUUAUCGAUGAGGCACAGUCUCUUCUUCAGUGGUAUACCUGCUGUGGCAUAGACUAAUCCACAGUCACUUUGAGGUGCACCUGUUCCAGCAUGGCCUUAUCCACAGUCCACAACGCCUUCAGAGAUAUACCUGCUCCAACAUGGCCUUACCCAUGGCUGCAGUUCCUCCAGGGGCGUACCUACUCUGUUGUGGGCUUAUCUGUGGCGGCACACUUUGAGGUGCUCCAGCGUGACCCCACGCACAGCCACUGAUGCUUCAAGGCAUACCUGCUGCAGCAUGGACUUAUCCACAGCCACAGAUGUUUUGAGGUGUACCUUCUCCAGCGUGGACCUACCCUCGGGCCACAAUCCCUUCGGAGGUAUACCUGCUGCAGCACAGACAUAACCGCGGCCGCAGACGCUUUGAGAUGUACCUGCUUUGGUGUGGAGUUAUUCACAGCCACAGGUGCUUCGAGGUGUCCUGUUCCCACGUGGACUCAUCCACAGGUCACAGUCCCUUCGACUCAAGUUCACACUGGAGUUCCAACUUGUCUAGUAGAGCAGCACGGAAACAGCAGCGAUGCCCUGGCCAUCUGCCAGCCCAGGCGCACAGCCAUUGCUGUUAUCAAAACAUUCCCAGGCACAGUAGAAUAAGAUGAUAAGCAGCAAAAUAAAAAGCCAGCUACUAACGAGCACUUGACUCUAAUAUAUAGUUAAGCCAGCCCCACAGCAAGCACAGAAAUCUGUCAAUUAGUAGCUAAACAGCAAUAACAGCUGUAAAUUCAAUCUAGCACAUUCCAAUUGAAUCUGUCAUUAUCUCAAACCCUUCAAGCCCCACAUUGGGUGCCUGGCCUGUCGUCUUUUCUCUCCUCCCACCCCCCCCGCCCCAUCUCUCCACCUCUGUCCUGUCACUCUCUUCCUCUAUCUGUCUCUAAUGUUUCUUUCUCCAUCUCUGCCCUCCUCCCUGUCCCUUUUCUUUUAUUCUCCUUGUCCUCCAUCCUCCCCCUAGCUUUUUGCCUGUGUAUCUCCAUACCACUGCCUGCCCCAUCAUUUCUCGCUAUACACCCCUGUCCAGCUAGCUGUCUCAUUAUUCCCUUAUGUCCUGCUCCUGGGCCUUUUUUCUCAUCCUGCAGCCCAACGCUGGUUUUUCUUUCUCCAUCUCUUUGUCCUGAUCUGUUUCUCUUCCCUCCCCCUGCCCCCCAUCCCUCCGGCUUGUUCCCUGUCUUUCUCUCUCUCUUUCCCCUUCCUUAUUCCUCUCAUUCAAUUUCUCUCUCAAUCUGUCUGUUCUGCUCCCACUCAUCACUAUCUCUUUCCUUCUGUCCUGCUCCUUGACCCUGUUUGUCUUCUGCCACAUCCCUGCAGGGCUCCUCAUCCCUCUUUUAUUGAUUUCCCCAUCACUGUCCUUUUCCCCUGUGCCUUUCUUUCUCUGUUCCUCAGUCCUUCUGCCUCAUUUUAUUUUUCUGUUCCUCUGUCCUGCUCCCCAUCGCUGUAUCUUCAUUCGCUGUAUCUGCUGCUCCAGUAAUAACUGCUAAGUUGUCCCAGGGAAAGGGUGACAGUACAGGCAUAGAGCCCCAGAGCAGAUUAACUCCUGGGACUUAGAUGCAUUAACAAAUAAAGACUUGAUAUUUCCUUUGUACUCACAGCUGUGUUUGUAGU
Molecule: long non-coding RNA, 3945 nt
Organism: Grus americana (Whooping crane)
Lineage: Eukaryota; Metazoa; Chordata; Aves; Gruiformes; Gruidae
Exons: 3
Source: RefSeq, a predicted model, not a curated record